Molecule: ribosomal RNA, 477 nt
Filed under: uncultured bacterium
Lineage: Bacteria
Description: partial 16S ribosomal RNA
Rfam family: Bacterial small subunit ribosomal RNA
Source: RNAcentral
GACGAACGCUGGCGGCGUGCUUAACACGUGCAAGUCGAACGGAAAGGCCCUGCUUGCAGGGUACUCGAGUGGCGAACGGGUGAGUAACACGUGGGUGAUCUGCCCUGCACUUCGGGAUAAGCCUGGGAAACUGGGUCUAAUACCGGAUAGGGGCCAUUUUUAGUGUGAUGGUUGGAAAGUUUUUUCGGUGUAGGAUGAGCUCGCGGCCUAUCAGCUUGUUGGUGGGGUAAUGGCCUACCAAGGCGGCGACGGGUAGCCGGCCUGAGAGGGUGGACGGCCACAUUGGGACUGAGAUACGGCCCAGACUCCUACGGGAGGCAGCAGUGGGGAAUAUUGCACAAUGGGCGCAAGCCUGAUGCAGCGACGCCGCGUGGGGGAUGACGGCCUUCGGGUCGUAAACUGCUUUUGUAGGGGACGAAUUAGUGACGGUACCCUAAGAAUAAGAGGUUGCUAACUCUGUGCCAGCCGCCGCCGUAA